Long non-coding RNA from Phascolarctos cinereus (koala), 561 nucleotides. RefSeq lists it as uncharacterized. NCBI's taxonomy places the organism in Eukaryota, Metazoa, Chordata, Mammalia, Diprotodontia, Phascolarctidae. The record is from RefSeq and is a predicted model, not a curated record.
AGAAGUCAGCCGUAUCAGCUCUUUGGGUUGGACUUGCAUAAUCAACGCAGAACCAUGACCUUCGGGGGAUAUUCCCCCUAGGAAAACCGACGCCUUUGCUGGGGUAUGGUGAGUCACGCGGCAGGUGCUUGUGACUUCUGAAGGGUUUUCAACGUUGAAAUAAAUUUUGGAGCACAAGACAGAGCUUCUAACUAUGCUUUCUGGGAGAGGAUUCCUGCACGUAAUGCAUGUUGUAUGAUUAAGAUAAUGAAGUAACCGCCUCUUGGAGUAAUUUCUUAAUUUCCCAGGACAGAUGAGAUGCAAAGAAGAAGUAAAGACAGGAGUCAAAGGUUCAUUAAAUCAGCAGAAUGCUAGACACAGUAUAUCUGGAUUUCAGCAAGACGCUUGAUAACAUCUCCAACAAAUCACUGUGGGCAAGAUGGAGGGAUAUGAGCUGUGUGAUGGAGCAAUGAACUGAACCCCCACAGCCCAAGUGUGAUGAGGAAACCCUUAGGAAAGUCUCUCAGGAAGGAACUGGAAGCAGCCUCAGCAGAUAUGACUAAAAUAAACAAAUUGAGACCA